Molecule: non-coding RNA, 107 nt
Organism: Acanthosepion pharaonis
Lineage: Eukaryota; Metazoa; Mollusca; Cephalopoda; Sepiida; Sepiidae
Source: the annotation of a GenBank genome assembly
UACGGCCAUAUCACGUUGAAACAAUGAUACCUGUACGAUCCCAGAAGUUAAGCAACGUCGAGCCUGGUCAGUACCUAGAUGGGCGACCGCAGUGGAAUAUCAGGUGC